AGAGCUCAGAUUUGAAAUCGUGCUUUGCGGCACGAGUUGUAGAUUGCAGGUUGGAGUCUGUGUGGAAGGCGGUGUCCAAGUCCCUUGGAACAGGGCGCCCAGGAGGGUGAGAGCCCCGUGGGAUGCCGGCGGAAGCAGUGAGGCCCUUCUGACGAGUCGAGUUGUUUGGGAAUGCAGCUCCAAGCGGGUGGUAAAUUCCAUCUAAGGCUAAAUACUGGCGAGAGACCGAUAGCGAACAAGUACUGUGAAGGAAAGAUGAAAAGCACUUUGAAAAGAGAGUGAAACAGCACGUGAAAUUGUUGAAAGGGAAGGGUAUUGCGCCCGACAUGGGGAUUGCGCACCGCUGCCUCUCGUGGGCGGCGCUCUGGGCUUUCCCUGGGCCAGCAUCGGUUCUUGCUGCAGGAGAAGGGGUUCUGGAACGUGGCUCUUCGGAGUGUUAUAGCCAGGGCCAGAUGCUGCGUGCGGGGACCGAGGACUGCGGCCGUGUAGGUCACGGA
Molecule: ribosomal RNA, 497 nt
Filed under: Pichia kudriavzevii
Lineage: Eukaryota; Fungi; Ascomycota; Pichiomycetes; Pichiales; Pichiaceae
Description: eukaryotic LSU rRNA
Rfam family: Eukaryotic large subunit ribosomal RNA
Source: RNAcentral